This 621-nucleotide long non-coding RNA is filed under the name Mytilus galloprovincialis (Mediterranean mussel). The record is from RNAcentral. Lineage: Eukaryota; Metazoa; Mollusca; Bivalvia; Mytilida; Mytilidae.
UGGAAAAACAAACUGUUUUAAAAAAUGUGUUCCUAUGAUUUGUAUUUGAAAAAGUCCUAAUUUAAAAAAUUUAUUACUUAUUUUUUUUUCACAUUUCUAUUGGUAUUAAACUAACAGCUUGGAAAUAUUCAUCAUCUGAUAUGGAUAUCAGUCUCAAAAGAGGAGAUAAAAUAUCUGUUCAUUUCUUAUUCUUCUUUAUUCCAUUGUAAAAAGUCUCUAUUUGGAAAUUAAUUUCAAGCAUACUUAGAUUAUUGUACUGAUGUACUUUUGUUUGAUGUUAUAUUUUUUUUAGAGAAGAUCAAUUAGGCAUUUAUAAGGCUUACAAGAACAUUUUAUAUAAAUAAGGCAGUUAGUUUUCUCGAUUGAAUUGUUAAAAUUGUUAUUUCAGGGCCUUUAAUAGCUGACUAUGUGGUAUGGGCUUUGCUUAUGAUUGAAAGCAGUACGGUGACUAUUAUAUUUGUGAAUUUCUGUGUCAUUUUGGUCUCUUGUGGACAGAUGUCUCAUUGGCAAUCAUACCACAUCUUUUUUAUAUGUAUUUAACAACAAACCGAUGAUCCAUUUUAAUGUAAAUUCCUUAGGAACAGAAUGUUACCUAAUUUAAUGUAAUAAUUAAGUUCAUAU